CCUUUGCCCCAUGAGCACUUUGUGCUCAUAUUAUUUCCACAUGACCAGUCAGUUGGGCUCAGCCCAACUCCCUUUGCGUCGCGAGUAUAUAAACACCUUACAUCCUGUAUUGUAAUGCAUCGAUUUUAGUACUUGUGUUUUCUAAGGAAAGUCACCAGUCUGUCGACAGCACCGUCAGGAGCUCUCACAAUCGCGCCUCCAGCACUAGGGCGAUAGCCCUAAUGCCCUACAACCCACUCCUUUCCCUCCUCUCGACAAGCACCAAUACUAUCGUACUGCUGAUUGUGUAACGUUCUGAAGCUUCCGCUACAGUCGGUUACCCCACCUGGUAUUUGUGUGUGUUCCACACACAUAAUUACCAUACAUACACUGUCUAUCACCACGGCCUCACUUUAUCCAAACGCUCUGUGGGCAGCAUCUACAGUAACUUGUACAAGUAAGCUUAAGCAACAGAUCAAACAAAAGGGCUCACGGACUGGGAAAGUUCAACGUUUUAUCGUGGGCGAAGACGUUGGCAGGCACUGCUUGUUGAAUAACAAGCUGUACCUCUACAAUUAAACAUUCAGUCAUACAGCGACUAUACUCCUCAUGUGCAAUUGUCUAACCGCAACGUUGAACUAUUUCCGACGAGAUUGACCGCGCACAUCUAUGCAGCAGCUAAAAUGGCACCUUGUCCUGAGUACGAUACUGUACACGAUGGGGUUGCAGGUUAACCUACCAGCAUGCGAGGAAUCUUGUGUGUUGAGUAGGCAAUCUGAACAAAGCAGUUGCAACUUGUUUAUCUACAGAGGUAGUGUCCCUGGGUACAGUGUCACUGGAUACAGUGUGUACAUUUACUGCUGUAUGUGGACUUUUGGGCAUAUUAUCCGUUUUGCCAUCAUGUUGCCAUAUUUUCUCUCGUCAGUUUUAGCACCUGUCACGAACGAAA
This 928-nucleotide unclassified non-coding RNA is filed under the name Yarrowia lipolytica. Lineage: Eukaryota; Fungi; Ascomycota; Dipodascomycetes; Dipodascales. The record is from RNAcentral.